This 467-nucleotide ribosomal RNA is filed under the name uncultured bacterium. RNAcentral's name for it is "partial 16S ribosomal RNA". It matches the Rfam family "Bacterial small subunit ribosomal RNA", at positions 28 to 506 of the family's 1533-position model. The record is from RNAcentral.
GACGAACGCUGGCGGCGUGCUUAACACAUGCAAGUCGAACGGAAAGGCCCUGCUUUUGUGGGGUGCUCGAGUGGCGAACGGGUGAGUAACACGUGAGUAACCUGCCCUUGACUUUGGGAUAACUUCAGGAAACUGGGGCUAAUACCGGAUAGGAGCUCCUGCUGCAUGGUGGGGGUUGGAAAGUUUCGGCGGUUGGGGAUGGACUCGCGGCUUAUCAGCUCGUUGGUGGGGUAGUGGCUUACCAAGGCUUUGACGGGUAGCCGGCCUGAGAGGGUGACCGGCCACAUUGGGACUGAGAUACGGCCCAGACUCCUACGGGAGGCAGCAGUGGGGAAUAUUGCACAAUGGGCGGAAGCCUGAUGCAGCAACGCCGCGUGCGGGAUGACGGCCUUCGGGUUGUAAACCGCUUUCGCCUGUGACGAAGCGUGAGUGGCGGUAAUGGGUAAAGAAGCACCGGCUAACUACGU